CAUUCUGCCUCUGAAAUUUUAGGAGAAAUUGCUUUAUUAAAUCACAAUAAAGGUGAUAUUGUUCAACAUCCAGCGACGUCAAGUCAAAGAACAAACUGAAAGAUUGUAUCGAUUUGAAUGAUGCAGAAGACUCCUGAACCUUUUUAUUCAAAAGAACUGUCGUCUUAACUCGUUCUUAUUGACUUGAAAAGUAAGCCUUCGGUUGCUUUAGGUCCUGAAGUGAUAAUUAUGCAAGAAGCUCCCGGAAAAACGCUUGGCUGAGUCAGAGUUUACUGUCGUUUCUAGUUCAACUAUAUCAUUAUUUGAAGCAGUUAACCAGUUAUUACGCGUUAGAUAGUUUGAAAAUCUGACAUUUAUUCAUAAUUUUUUUGGAGCAUUGUAAAUUUAUGCAGAAAUUAUAACCCAACCUUUUGCUUAAUGGUAAAUAAACAAGAAAUUUCAAA
Molecule: long non-coding RNA, 443 nt
Organism: Xenia sp. Carnegie-2017
Lineage: Eukaryota; Metazoa; Cnidaria; Anthozoa; Malacalcyonacea; Xeniidae
Exons: 3
Source: RefSeq, a predicted model, not a curated record